Molecule: long non-coding RNA, 463 nt
Organism: Bos taurus (domestic cattle)
Lineage: Eukaryota; Metazoa; Chordata; Mammalia; Artiodactyla; Bovidae
Source: Ensembl
GGUGGAAGGGAGAGUCAGAGAUUCAAAGCAUGAGGAAUUCGGGCCACACGAGGAGUCUAGGCAGCCUGUAGGAACAGAGAGAAGCUCCCAGUGCCCAGCCAGCCAGGAAACAGGACCUCAGAGCCAUAGCCACAGGGAACUGGAUUCUGCCAGCAAAAGAGGUAGGUUCUUCCCGAGAUCCUCCAGGCAAGAUCCCAGCCCAGUGGACACCUUGAUUUCGGCCUUGUGGGACCCUGAGCAGAAAACCCAGCUGGAUGCAGCUGGAUCCAUGAAUGACAAGGAAGAUAAGAGCUGCCCCACAAAGCUGAACACCUGUUCAAGACUACUAGAUACUCAGCUCUGCUGUUGUGGUACAGAAGCAUGAUGAAUAUAUAAACAACCCUCACGCUAGAAAACUCGCAGAAAAAGGAGCAAGCGGACCGGCUUUUUUCAACUCCCCGCGGAAGUACUCUCACCGGAACUC